AAGCCCGAAAGAAGCUCGGAGUAAAGUCAAUCGUGAUAGGAGGAAGUCUGAAAGAGAUUUGGAGAGUAGUCGAUCACUAUAGAAAAUCGGCUCAUAGUGAAGCCCAGAGAGCAUUUGGAGCAGUCCGAUAGAUGACUGAAGGAGCUCAUUUUUCGAGAAGUCUGGAGAGUAUGAUAGGAGUUCGUCCGUUGGAGGAAUCUGGAGGAUACUGUUGAAGGUCGACUGCUGGAGGAGUCCGGAUGGUACUGUGGAAGCUCAGACGGUCGGAGGAGUUCAGAAAGACACCGCACA
This 291-nucleotide long non-coding RNA is filed under the name Elaeis guineensis (African oil palm). Its description in RNAcentral is "long non-coding RNA (EGUI_LNC052370)". The record is from RNAcentral. Lineage: Eukaryota; Viridiplantae; Streptophyta; Magnoliopsida; Arecales; Arecaceae.